AUACGCAUGCGAAUGGUGCGAAUGCGUAUGCACAUGCGAAUGUGGCGAAUGAAUUCGCGAGUUUUACGCGACCCUAAACGCGACCAGGUGACUUUUAACGCGAGCGUAUCGCCAAACGCAAGGGAUUGCGAACGGCAUACGCGACUGCGAAUCCUGCGAAUGUAUGUGCUACCAUUUGAAUUUUACGCGAGUGACUGCGACUUGCGUGCGGGACUGCGAACUGUACGGCCAACCGUGCAAUACAAAAGCUUUACAAUAGCAGUACACGAGCUGUACAAUGUGCAAAGUGCACCGCCGUUGCACAUGACCUGCAGGUUCACAGCUGUGAACCACAGCACUCACUGCUUUCUUCAUACAUUUGAACUAUCCCUGAAUGACAGGUACGAAUUCAUAGCAAAUCCUAACAUGACCGAUGCAACUCAGCCAGCAACUCUUACCAUGGAAAAGGGUCCAACAGUCUAACGUCAGAAAAAAUCGACACACAAAUGUUAAGCGCAUGUAAAUGUACCACAAUACAGCCACUAUUGUCUUCUUAUUAAAGCGCUCAAUCCUCGCCUCCGCUGAUGUCAUCUUCACGAACGACGGCAUAAAUCUGCAUAUGAAAGGAUCACAGCAAAUCAUUGUUUAGGCAGGAACACAUAGUUGUGAGCAUGUUACGUACAAUGACGGCUGUAGGUGUGACACCGGCAUAACGUGCCUCGAAAUAAGGCAAUAAAAAGCAUUUAGUUAAUAGCCAUGGUCGUGCAACCAGAGGCUUCAUACCUCCGAACGGCCGCUACGUGGCAUGCCACGUCCCGUUUGAGCCCGACUCUUGUUCAUAUCCUUACCACCAUCCUUGCGCUUGUCCUAUUCCUUGCGAUUCUCCUGCUCGUGUCCUUGGAAUGNNN
Molecule: long non-coding RNA, 887 nt
Filed under: Volvox carteri
Lineage: Eukaryota; Viridiplantae; Chlorophyta; Chlorophyceae; Chlamydomonadales; Volvocaceae
Description: long non-coding RNA (VCAR_LNC003908)
Source: RNAcentral